Molecule: ribosomal RNA, 253 nt
Filed under: uncultured bacterium
Lineage: Bacteria
Description: partial 16S ribosomal RNA
Rfam family: Bacterial small subunit ribosomal RNA
Source: RNAcentral
UACGGAGGAGGCAAGCGUUAUCCGGAAUUAUUGGGCGUAAAGCGUCCGCAGGUGGCACUUCAAGUCUGUCGUCAAAGACUGGGGCUUAACCCUGGAAAGGCGGUGGAAACUGAAGCGCUAGAGUGCGGUAGGGGUAGAGGGAAUUCCCGGUAUAGCGGUGAAAUGCGUAGAGAUCGGGAAGAACAUCGGUGGCGAAAGCGCUCUACUGGACCGCAACUGACACUCAGGGACGAAAGCUAGGGGAGCGAAUGGG